Hypomesus transpacificus is the source of this 435-nucleotide long non-coding RNA. RefSeq lists it as uncharacterized. The record is from RefSeq and is a predicted model, not a curated record. The transcript is spliced from 3 exons. NCBI's taxonomy places the organism in Eukaryota, Metazoa, Chordata, Actinopteri, Osmeriformes, Osmeridae.
GACCAGAGUGAGGGUGGAGAUAAGGCCGAUGGGUCAGAGCGAGAGAGGGAGAAGAUGAAAGGAAGGUGAACGCGAGAACGUUUGAAGAGGGAGCAGAGUGAAGAGAGAGACAGCAUGAAAAGAAGUAUGGAGAAGGAUCAGCAUGUUCCACAACACCAUGGUGCUGGAUGGAGAACAGAACAAGGAGGAGUGAAGGCAGAGAGAGAGGAUUUGGAGGGAGGAAGGGAGCCAGGUGAAGUGGUGGGAGAUUACGCUGUUGAAGCCUCAUGUGUCCAGGCUGAAGAAGAGUUCCUGGGUCUGGUAGCUAGGGUCGACCUCGUUCCCCCAGACACAUUCAGAGCCGGGGGGAGAGCUGACGGGAGGAUGCCUGGAAGGAUCUAGAAUGCCGCCUCGUUUGGCAUGCAGCUGUCGAACUCUUCUCUGCUUUGUUUCUAU